This 279-nucleotide ribosomal RNA is filed under the name uncultured bacterium. RNAcentral describes it as "partial 16S ribosomal RNA". It matches the Rfam family "Bacterial small subunit ribosomal RNA", at positions 506 to 784 of the family's 1533-position model. The record is from RNAcentral.
UGCCAGCCGCCGCGGUAAUACGGGGGGUGCAAGCGUUGCUCGGAAUUACUGGGCGUAAAGCGUACGCAGGCGGGUGAUCAGGUCGAUUGUGAAAGCCCAGGGCUCAACCCUGGAACUGCAGUCGAAACCGGUCGCCUUGAGUACGGGAGAGGGAUGCGGAAUUCCUGGUGUAGAGGUGAAAUUCGUAGAUAUCAGGAGGAACACCCGUGGCGAAAGCGGCAUCCUGGCCCGAUACUGACGCUCAUGUACGAAAGCGUGGGGAGCAAACAGGAUUAGAUA